GUAUAAGAGACAGCAGUAGCCGCGGUAAUACAGAGGGUGCGAGCGUUAAUCGGAUUUACUGGGCGUAAAGCGUGCGUAGGCGGCUUUUUAAGUCGGAUGUGAAAUCCCUGAGCUUAACUUAGGAAUUGCAUUCGAUACUGGGAAGCUAGAGUAUGGGAGAGGAUGGUAGAAUUCCAGGUGUAGCGGUGAAAUGCGUAGAGAUCUGGAGGAAUACCGAUGGCGAAGGCAGCCAUCUGGCCUAAUACUGACGCUGAGGUACGAAAGCAUGGGGAGCAAACAGGAUUAGAUACCCGCGUAGUCCCUGUCUCUUAUAC
This 314-nucleotide ribosomal RNA is filed under the name uncultured bacterium. Its description in RNAcentral is "partial 16S ribosomal RNA". It matches the Rfam family "Bacterial small subunit ribosomal RNA", at positions 495 to 807 of the family's 1533-position model. The record is from RNAcentral.